Molecule: ribosomal RNA, 427 nt
Filed under: uncultured bacterium
Lineage: Bacteria
Description: partial 16S ribosomal RNA
Rfam family: Bacterial small subunit ribosomal RNA
Source: RNAcentral
UGGGGAAUAUUGGACAAUGGGCGAAAGCCUGAUCCAGCCAUGCCGCGUGUGUGAAGAAGGUCUUCGGAUUGUAAAGCACUUUAAGUUGGGAGGAAGGGCAUUAACCUAAUACGUUAGUGUUUUGACGUUACCGACAGAAUAAGCACCGGCUAACUCUGUGCCAGCAGCCGCGGUAAUACAGAGGGUGCAAGCGUUAAUCGGAAUUACUGGGCGUAAAGCGCGCGUAGGUGGUAUGUUAAGUUGGAUGUGAAAUCCCCGGGCUCAACCUGGGAACUGCAUUCAAAACUGACUGACUAGAGUAUGGUAGAGGGUGGUGGAAUUUCCUGUGUAGCGGUGAAAUGCGUAGAUAUAGGAAGGAACACCAGUGGCGAAGGCGACCGCCUGGACUAAUACUGACACUGAGGUGCGAAAGCGUGGGGAGCAAACA